RNAcentral lists this transfer RNA (71 nucleotides) under Patescibacteria group bacterium. Its description in RNAcentral is "tRNA-Cys". It matches the Rfam family "tRNA". Rfam says of the family: Transfer RNA (tRNA) molecules are approximately 80 nucleotides in length. Their secondary structure includes four short double-helical elements and three loops (D, anti-codon, and T loops). Further hydrogen bonds mediate the characteristic L-shaped molecular structure. tRNAs have two regions of fundamental functional importance: the anti-codon, which is responsible for specific mRNA codon recognition, and the 3' end, to which the tRNAs corresponding amino acid is attached (by aminoacyl-tRNA synthetases). tRNAs cope with the degeneracy of the genetic code in two manners: having more than one tRNA (with a specific anti-codon) for a particular amino acid; and 'wobble' base-pairing, i.e. permitting non-standard base-pairing at the 3rd anti-codon position. The record is from RNAcentral.
GCUGGUGUAGCUCAAUUGGUAGAGCAUCUGCCGCAAGCAGAAGGUUCCCAGUUCAAGUCUGGGCACCAGUU